UACGAAGGGGGCUAGCGUUGUUCGGAAUCACUGGGCGUAAAGGGCGCGUAGGCGGCUUUGUAAGUCGGGGGUGAAAGCCUGUGGCUCAACCACAGAAUUGCCUUCGAUACUGCAUGGCUUGAGACCGGAAGAGGUAAGUGGAACUGCGAGUGUAGAGGUGAAAUUCGUAGAUAUUCGCAAGAACACCAGUGGCGAAGGCGGCUUACUGGUCCGGAUCUUACGCUGAGGCGCGAAAGCGUGGGGAGCAAACAGG
This 253-nucleotide ribosomal RNA is filed under the name uncultured bacterium. RNAcentral's name for it is "partial 16S ribosomal RNA". It matches the Rfam family "Bacterial small subunit ribosomal RNA", at positions 524 to 776 of the family's 1533-position model. The record is from RNAcentral.